Apis florea (little honeybee) is the source of this 1126-nucleotide long non-coding RNA. The record is from RefSeq and is a predicted model, not a curated record. Lineage: Eukaryota; Metazoa; Arthropoda; Insecta; Hymenoptera; Apidae.
UUUCUUUUUUUUUUUGUUUUGCAAACUUUUUAUACAUACGCGUAUAUAUAUAUAUUAUUUUUUUUUUUCAUUUAUUUAUCCUAUUCCUUGCCCACGAGCGAGAUCCGAAAAAAAAAAAAAGAAAAGAAAAAUAAUGUAGUGUGACCUGACUUAGCAUUUUAUGGUAGAGUUGUUUCGUUUAUUUAAUUAUCAUUAUUAUUUAUUAACAGGAACAUCAUCGAAUCUUUGUUCGUUACAUCGUCAUCGUACGUUUCUACAUUUAUUAUCGUGAUCAUCACUAUCAGCAUUAUUAUCACCACCGGCGUUAAUUAAUUAAUCGUAUCGGACAAAUAGCGUCGUAGUGCGUCAAUCAUCAUUAUUAUUAUCAUCAUUUAUAUCAGCAGCGUUCAUCGUAUUCAUCAUCGCUUGUUCAGCAGCAUCAUCAUCCAUAUAAAUAAAUAAUUAUCAUCAACCGUGCGAUAACAACGCAUAAUCGUCAUUUGUUCAUUGAUUUCGAGAUCGAAACAGGGGAGAGAGAGAGAGAGAGAGAGAGAAGAAAAAGGAAAGAAAAUAGGAGGUAUUAAUAUCCGAUUGAUCGUCGAAAAAAAUAGCGCUAUCCGAAAGGUUAAAAAAGGAAGAAAAAAAAAAAAAAUCCGAGGGAAAAAAAAAUAAAAAAAUCUCACGAAGGGGCGACAUCGUUUGAAUCCUAAUUCGUCGUAAACUUUCUCGCUCGUAACUAUAUAUACGCACGGUACAUACAAACGCUCUCCUCUCUCUGGUCGUUACUCUGCUUCGUACUCUCUCACUGAGGACUUGCUCGCAAGCGAACAGAUGGACGCACAUACAUAUACAUGUACAUUUACAUAUUAUAUACAUAUUACAUAUACGAAGGGGGAAGGGGAAUACACACGCGCGCGCGCGCGUGCGCGCGCACACACACACACACACACAUGUACCGAAAACAGAGAGACAUACUCUCGAUGCAUGCACGCUGUAUCGCUAUCGGCCGCGAAUACACACACCCACGCAUACAGAAUCGCAUACAUACACACGUAGUUGUGUACACGCAAAAGUAAGUAUCCUCGUGAACGCGUCUCUCGUUAGCCAUGAAGAAAAGAGAGUAGGGGAAAGAAAAGAAAAAAAAAAA